GAUAAACGCUGGCGGCGCACAUAAGACAUGCAAGUUGAACGGACUUAAUCGAAAUAUUUAUAUUUUGAAGCGGUUAGUGGCGGACUGGUGAGUAACGCGUAAGGAACCUGCCUAUUAGAGGGGAAUAACAGUGAGAAAUCAUUGCUAAUACCGCAUAUGCCAUAGAUAUCACAUGAUAACAGUGGGAAAGGAGCAAUCCGCUAAUAGAUGGCCUUGCGUCUGAUUAGAUAGUUGGUGGGGUAACGGCCUACCAAGUCGACGAUCAGUAGCCGGACUGAGAGGUUGGACGGACACAUAGGGACUGAGAUACGGCCCAGACUCCUGCGGGAGGAAGCAGUCGGGAAUAUUGCGCAAUGGAGGAAACUCUGACGCAGUGACGCCGCGUAUAGGAAGAAGGUUUUCGGAUUGUAAACUAUUGUCGUUAGGGAAGAGAAAGGACAGUACCUAAGGAGGAAGCUCCGGCUAACUACGUG
Molecule: ribosomal RNA, 473 nt
Filed under: uncultured bacterium
Lineage: Bacteria
Description: partial 16S ribosomal RNA
Rfam family: Bacterial small subunit ribosomal RNA
Source: RNAcentral